CCCAUCAGGUAGUAAUGUCCUCUCAUUCUCUUCUUCUCCUCUAGAAUAACUCUAUCACUGCAUAACAUCUUCAGGAUUUUUUCACCAGCUACUAUCCUAUAGCCUCUCGAAUCCAGUCUGCUUAGUGAGAUAAGAUUCUAUCUGAAAUUAGAUACGUAUCAGACCUCCUUCAAUCUCCUCACUACAUUAUUAUGUGUCCUCCAGCUGACCAUUUCGAUACAUC
RNAcentral lists this long non-coding RNA (223 nucleotides) under Elaeis guineensis (African oil palm). RNAcentral describes it as "long non-coding RNA (EGUI_LNC001908)". The record is from RNAcentral. Lineage: Eukaryota; Viridiplantae; Streptophyta; Magnoliopsida; Arecales; Arecaceae.